UCUGCUGGGCCUCGGUGAACUGGGCAGUGCUGUGCUCGGAGAACUGACUCCGUUCAAGGGACAGUGAAGUUACUGCUUGUUCUUUUUCUCAAGGGGCAAGGAGAGGACAAAGAGAAGGCAUGGGUCUUAGGGGGUGAGCAGAAAAGAGUCCAUUAGUGGAGAUUGUGGGCAAUGUGCCAGACAAGCCUGGCUCCAAUUCUCACUCUUUAUCCUAUUAGCUGUGUGAUCUCAGGCAAAUUACUUAAUCUCUCUGAGCCUCAGCUUUUUCACUGGUUGAGAUGAGAAGGAAAGAGUAGGAAAUAACAUUUACUGAGCUAUUUCAAUGUGCCACUGUUUUCGGUGCUAUUAACGCAUGUAAUCCUCCAGAUACCCUCUGAUGUCAGUCCUAUUGUGUGCAUGAGAAAACCCAGGGAAAGGACUUGGGUGCACACCAGGCAGUGUGUCAGGAACCCUUGAGAACACAGCAGUGUUCAUGUGGCAUAAAGCCUGCCUGUGGGCAGUGCCCCGUGCUGUGCAGACAGAAGGGACUGGGAGCUAUUCACAAGCAGCAGCUCACUUUGGUUUGCUCUCACUCUGGUGUGGUCAUGCUCACUGGUGUGCUCUCACUCACUGGUGUGCUCUCACUUACUGGCACACUCACUGCACACACACCGUGGUUUCCUCCCAGGCUUCCCCCCAGCACCAGGAGGUGAGGAAGACUGGCCAGGUACCUACUCCUGCUGUGGGCUCACUGAGGCCGGGCUGGUGGCUGGGCAGGGGCCCCACACGCUGACUCCACAAGCAUCACUCUUGGCCACCACCAGCCCCAGAACCCCUGCAGCCCCCGUGCCCCACACCCAUAGUCCCGCUGCGGUUUUCAGCCCUUCCUUUCCUCCAUGCAACCUGAGUACACCAGGGGCCCUCAGUCAUGUUUCACUCGAGAGCUAUUCCCGAGAGGAGGAGUGGGGCAGGGAGGGGACGGAGUUGGAGAGGGAGCUCUGGCCCCACACGGCUCAGCACACCGGGCCUCAGGGGGUCUUCACAGCAGAGGCUGGGCUGGUCGGAAGACAGGGCCAUGCGUCAGGUGUCACCCCAAACAGGCCCAACAGAAGCAAGAUGGAAGACAAAAUCCUGCGAACUGGAGCACUGGGUAGCUGAGGGAUGUGGUGGUAAUAAAAGCUAAGGUUCUCUUCAGGCUCUGCUGAGUUGGGGCAUGAGUGGGAAUUCAAAGCCGGAGGAGGAGCCUGGACUUAACCUUGGGCCCCACCACCCUCACGGGCACCAGGCUGAAUUCAUGACAGGGUAGGCACUGCCUGAACCCCGGAGCUGAACUCCUGGGUGGAGCGGCACUGCGUGUGCAGGGGCACAGCCUCAACUUGGGAAGGUCAGGCUAUGGGUCAAAGGGGAAACAAAAGGCUUGGGGUCAGCAAGGAUGGCUUCAGCGGCUUGACUCCCACCUCCACCCUGAACAGCAGACUUAUGUUGGGCAAGGUAUGUAAACCCUGUGAGCCCCAGUUUCUUCAUAUGUGAAAUGGGGCUAGUACUUUCUCACAAGGUUGUUUUGAAGACUAAUCAAUGGUCAACAAGAAGUUCUCUGUCAAUAUUAGCUUUUCCCUCCCCCCUUACUGAGCCCAUUCUAGACAGAACUCCAGAAAAGGGCCCGAGCCCGUAAACACACCCAGUUACUCCGCAGUGCAGGUGCCUCUGGUGAGGAAGGAAACAGCCAGUGCAGCUGCUCUCUCUCUCCUGUGACUCUAGCAUAUUUUUAUUCUCUCCUCCCCCGCUGAUUAAAUGAAUAUUCUACCUUCCAAGGUACACAAAUAAAGACUAAGAGGAUCCCCAGCUAGAAAAGGAUCUGAAGUUCCUGCUCUCGCUCAUUCCCUUUGUGAGGGUCCCAGAUCUGAUGCCAUUCCUUUUGGCUUGACUUCCAGUAUGACCUUGGGGGUCCAAGAGCUGCAGCUGUCUGGGAAUUAAACUGUAAACUGGUGCCUGUGACAUGACAAAGACAUAUUCUUUGGGUUACAAUAUUUUCCUUAUAAAACAAUGUCAACUAUCUACUUGCACUUGAAGAAAUUUAAACAAGUGUCUCCUACAAACGUAGUGCUCUCUUUUGCCAUUUUAUGUUUUGCAAUGGUGUUGAGAAUCUUUCUCUGACUGAAGUAAUGUGGUAAUGUCACAAUAUCUUUGCUUCCAAAUAAAUGUGACCAAAAAAUGA
Molecule: long non-coding RNA, 2194 nt
Organism: Manis pentadactyla (Chinese pangolin)
Lineage: Eukaryota; Metazoa; Chordata; Mammalia; Pholidota; Manidae
Exons: 2
Source: RefSeq, a predicted model, not a curated record